UUAAGUUCAGGGGGUAGUCCUGCUCGAUUGGAGGUCAAAGUGUAUAGAUUGAUUUGUGGUAAGCCCAUCCCGACCGACGUCCCCAUUGAAAGUGUGAGCUUAUGACAACGGGUCAAACCGCCAGUACAAAGGUACAGCUUGUUGCAAUUCAGCGCAGCCCAGAGCGUCGAAACACUCGGGCAAAGGCGCCACGAUCCGAA
Molecule: unclassified non-coding RNA, 200 nt
Filed under: soil metagenome
Description: partial internal transcribed spacer 2
Source: RNAcentral